Molecule: long non-coding RNA, 1217 nt
Organism: Benincasa hispida (wax gourd)
Lineage: Eukaryota; Viridiplantae; Streptophyta; Magnoliopsida; Cucurbitales; Cucurbitaceae
Source: RefSeq, a predicted model, not a curated record
AUCAGUAUCUUCGUUUUUUUUAGAAAUAUAUAUAUAAAAAAUGACAUAUCAUUAGACGUAUUCGUAUCUUAGUUUUUUAGAAAUUGACGAAUCGCCGUAUCCAAUCGUAUUCAUAUCGUGUAACUGUAUCAGUGUCUGUGCUUCAUAGGAAUUUGUAAAUGCAGAAAUUCUCACACAAUCAUUUGUGAAUUUAAAGAACAAAAGAUGAAUGUAAAAGAGAACUUGUAGAAACGACUAUCGACAAAGAAGCUCAACAUGUCCUUGUGGAACCACUUCUCAAUCCAGCUGCAGAAGUGCAAGCAAUUAGCAGGGUACACCGACUUGGACAGAAAAAUAAGAUGUUUGUACAUCGAUUCAUAGGAAGGAGACUAAAUUUGAAGAUAUCCACUUGAGUGGAGGUGAGUUUACAAAUUAUGAUGAGAAGGGAAAAUGUGUUACAUAUAGACUCGGUCAUGAAGGAACUUGGAUAUGCAUUCAAGAGCACUUCUCCAUAUAGAAAUCGCCGCCUUCACAUGUUGUUGGGUUAGAAAAUGACUUAAGGCCUACGAUGAGGAGGAUGUUCAGCCCAAAUCAAUUUGGUAGGUGAAACGAAAGGCACACAAUGUACCACACAUCUCAGCUGGCUGUGCAACACAUGGACACCUCCACUAUCUCGAUUUAGUGGGAGAGAAGGAAGCCGACAAAUCUUCGAUGUGAUCAAAGAAGAAAAUGAAACAUGCAAUUUUAUGAGCAGAAAGAAGAAGAGAAGAGGAACACGAACAUGUACGUAGUUCGGCCUAACUCAGGGCCUACGCCCACGGGAAGGGAUGAAGUUUAUUGCUAAUGAUUUUCAGAGAUAAGUUUCUUUUACAAGUUUUUGUUUUAAGAAAUGUAAAGAACAGCAUAAUAUGUAAAAGUACCUACUAUUUAUAUUUGUAUACAUUUCUGUUAUAAAGCUGUUAGAGAAAUUAGCCGUUGGAUUUACUUGAAAUUAUUUUCUUCACAUGUAUUUCGCUAUUUCCUUAAAAUCUCUAAACCCAUUAUGAAGCUUUUCAAUUCUUUUUGUUUUAUGAAAAGUCAUUUUUAGUUUAGUUCACAGUCAAUGUGAGAGAGAGAUGGGAACUUGUAUGGGAUUUUAGCUUUUGGUACUGUUUCUUUAUGAAAGAUGUUUUAUAAGCAACUUGUGACACACUUUGUUUGUUGUGAUACCCAAUUCCAAAUGUUGAAUAACGUUAAUU